GAUGAACGCUGGCGGCGUGCCUAAUACAUGCAAGUCGAGCGAACAGACGAGGAGCUUGCUCCUCUGACGUUAGCGGCGGACGGGUGAGUAACACGUGGAUAACCUACCUAUAAGACUGGGAUAACUUCGGGAAACCGGAGCUAAUACCGGAUAAUAUAUUGAACCGCAUGGUUCAAUAGUGAAAGACGGCUUUGCUGUCACCUAUAGAUGGAUCCGCGCCGCAUUAGCUAGUUGGUAAGGUAACGGCUUACCAAGGCGACGAUGCGUAGCCGACCUGAGAGGGUGAUCGGCCACACUGGAACUGAGACACGGUCCAGACUCCUACGGGAGGCAGCAGUAGGGAAUCUUCCGCAAUGGGCGAAAGCCUGACGGAGCAACGCCGCGUGAGUGAUGAAGGUCUUCGGAUCGUAAAACUCUGUUAUUAGGGAAGAACAAAUGUGUAAGUAACUAUGCACGUCUUGACGGUACCUAAUCAGAAAGCCACGGCUAACUACGUG
This 497-nucleotide ribosomal RNA is filed under the name uncultured bacterium. RNAcentral's name for it is "partial 16S ribosomal RNA". It matches the Rfam family "Bacterial small subunit ribosomal RNA", at positions 28 to 507 of the family's 1533-position model. The record is from RNAcentral.